GCCGGGUGUGGUGGUGCAUGCCUGUAAUCCCAGCUACUCGGGAGGCUGAGGCAGGAGAAUCGCUUGAACCCGGGAGGCGGAGGUUUGUAGUGAGCAGAGAUCGUGCCACUGCACUCCAGCCUGGGCGACAAAGUGAGACUCUGUCUCAA
Molecule: non-coding RNA, 149 nt
Filed under: Homo sapiens (human)
Lineage: Eukaryota; Metazoa; Chordata; Mammalia; Primates; Hominidae
Source: Rfam by way of RNAcentral